AUGAAGGCUCUCGGGUUGUAAACCUCUUUCAGCAGGGACGAUUGUGACGGUACCUGCAGAAGAAGCCCUGGCCAACUACGUGCCAGCAGCCGCGGUAAUACGUAGGGGGCGAGCGUUGUCCGGAUUUAUUGGGCGUAAGGAGCUCGUAGGCGGCUCGGUAAGUCAACUGUGAAAGCUCCGGGCUCAACUCGGAGAGGCCAGUUGAUACUGCUGUGGCUAGAGUCCGGUAGGGGAGCGUGGAAUUCCUGGUGUAGCGGUGAAAUGCGCAGAUAUCAGGAGGAACACCAGCGGCGAAGGCGGCGCUCUGGGCCGGAACUGACGCUGAGGAGCGAAAGCGUGGGUAGCAAACAGGAUUAGAUACCCUGGUAGUCCACGCCGUAAACGUUGGGCACUAGGUGUGGGUCUCAACCAACGAGAUCCGUGCCGUCGCUAACGCAUUAAGUGCCCCGCCUGGGGAGUACGGCCGCAAGGCUA
RNAcentral lists this ribosomal RNA (474 nucleotides) under uncultured bacterium. Its description in RNAcentral is "bacterial SSU rRNA". It matches the Rfam family "Bacterial small subunit ribosomal RNA", at positions 408 to 896 of the family's 1533-position model. The record is from RNAcentral.